Cyprinus carpio carpio is the source of this 508-nucleotide long non-coding RNA. The record is from Ensembl. Lineage: Eukaryota; Metazoa; Chordata; Actinopteri; Cypriniformes; Cyprinidae.
AUAUAUAUAUAUAUAUUAAAAGAACAUUCCAUUUCAUCAUCUUGCAGACAUUAAUGGAGCAUUAGAGGAAUGCUAAAAUGUUUCGAGUCACAAUAAGCACACAUCCUCUGGAGCGGCUCCAGUGAAGGUCACCUCAUCCACGCAGCCGUGUGAGCGAUGAGUCCUGCAGAGGAGAGCACUGCCACCGGCAUCGGCCAUCCACAACCCCAGCGCAGGCCUGCAUCGCCACCGCAGGUGGGAGCAGCAGAUGCGCGCCGCCGCUAAUGGCUCCGGGGCCGACUAUGAGAGAAAGCCACCAAGCAUGGAGGCGGAGCAGAUGGGCCCGAGACUUACAGAUAAUGCUCGAGACAGGGUUUGGACGGCGCCGUCUGGUUCCCUUGGAUUUGGCGGCUGUGUGUUUGUUGCUAUUUUUAUUCAGCAAGGACACAUUAAAUUGAUUAAAAGUUGCAGCAAAAGCAUUCACGCUUCUAUUUAAAAUGAUUUUAAACCUUUUUUUUAUCCAUCAAAG